This is a small nucleolar RNA of Lacerta agilis (Sand lizard), 163 nucleotides long. RefSeq annotates it as small nucleolar RNA U3. The record is from RefSeq and is a predicted model, not a curated record. NCBI's taxonomy places the organism in Eukaryota, Metazoa, Chordata, Lepidosauria, Squamata, Lacertidae. The transcript has a single exon.
AAGACUAUACUUUUAGGGAUCACUUCUAUAGUGCAUAACUAGAGAAAUUAAUAUAGAAAUGCACUGGUUUUUAAACAUGAAAAUUACAGUACUGUAUUCAUUUCAUCUGUUGUUCUUCCAGUUGCCACUGGGUGGUGGUAAAAGUGCAUAUAGUGUCAAUAAC